Molecule: ribosomal RNA, 433 nt
Filed under: uncultured bacterium
Lineage: Bacteria
Description: partial 16S ribosomal RNA
Rfam family: Bacterial small subunit ribosomal RNA
Source: RNAcentral
AACGAACGCUGGCGGCAGGCCUAACACAUGCAAGUCGAGCGCACCCUUCGGGGUGAGCGGCGGACGGGUGAGUAACGCGUGGGAACGUGCCCUUCUCUGCGGAAUAGCCUCGGGAAACGGAGAGUAAUACCGCAUACGCCCUUUGGGGGAAAGAUUUAUCGGAGAAGGAUCGGCCCGCGUUGGAUUAGGUAGUUGGUGGGGUAAUGGCCCACCAAGCCGACGAUCCAUAGCUGGUUUGAGAGGAUGAUCAGCCACACUGGGACUGAGACACGGCCCAGACUCCUACGGGAGGCAGCAGUGGGGAAUCUUAGACAGUGGGGGCAACCCUGAUCUAGCCAUGCCGCGUGAGUGAUGAAGGCCUUAGGGUUGUAAAGCUCUUUCAGCUGGGAAGAUAAUGACGGUACCAGCAGAAGAAGCCCCGGCUAACUCCGUG